GGCUUUCCAGAGCCAAGGUAUCUUCUUCGAUAACAAGGUAAGGAUAGUCCUGAUACUACCUUUCUUUUGUUAUUGAAGUUUAUUGUUCCUUUUGUUGGGGCUUGGUGGUUGUGCACCUAUAUUGAUUUGUACUUCUGUUAAUUAAUUAUAGUCAUUCUCUCUUGUCUGAGUAAUUAUUGUCAACCAUUUUGUUAGCAAAGGCUUCCCAUGGAUAUUCAGUUUGUUGUGCUGCAUGUCCACGAUGAUUUUCGUGAUUUUAGUUCUAGAUACAUAAAAAGGGCCUUUGCAUCACGACAUGAAUGACUAUUUUUUAAUAUGAACCUACAAUGCCCCAAAUGAAUGCUGGAUUAAAUUAGAUACAGGGUAGAUAGAGAGUGAGAUGGAGAGUGUUUGUGUGCUUUAGAGCCAUCUGUCCCUAAAACAUAGUUUCUUCCCCCCCCUAUAAGAAGUAAGUUUAUUGAUGUAUGUAAUUUACAAAAGGUUUGGUGGAACACCUACAACAAUCUUUUUGAACUUUUUGGUAGGUUAUGAAUUACGAACUUGUAUUGAAUAUUUGUUAGGUCGUUUUAAUAAUUCAAGUGGUGCUUAGAAAAUGCAACCGAGCUUAAACAAUUCUGCACAUUUUUCUAAAAUUUUUAGUUUAACCUUUUUAAUAAAAUUCGAUGGAAAAUCUUGUUUUCUUUUUGUAGGAAUAAAGGAAAAUGAAAUAUAACCAAACUUGGGAUCUUUGCAAGCAAGCUUCCAUGAAGAAACUAGGUUACAAGGGGAGGUCUUCUGUUCUCCUUUUUCUUUUUUUUUUCCAUCCGUAGAAUCUUGCUUAAAAUGCUUUGAGGACAAUGCAUAUUUUUAAGUGGGGGGUGGGGUUGUAGCCUUGCACAUUCCAUGUCCUUUGGGAAAUUUUCAUUUUGCAAAUUUUGCUAAAAAUGUCAAAAUUUAGAAACUUUU
RNAcentral lists this long non-coding RNA (945 nucleotides) under Cucumis sativus (cucumber). RNAcentral's name for it is "long non-coding RNA (CSAT_LNC003017)". The record is from RNAcentral. Lineage: Eukaryota; Viridiplantae; Streptophyta; Magnoliopsida; Cucurbitales; Cucurbitaceae.